RNAcentral lists this ribosomal RNA (358 nucleotides) under uncultured bacterium. Its description in RNAcentral is "bacterial SSU rRNA". It matches the Rfam family "Bacterial small subunit ribosomal RNA", at positions 28 to 369 of the family's 1533-position model. The record is from RNAcentral.
GAUGAACGCUGGCGGCGUGCUUAACACAUGCAAGUCGAACGAAGCACUUAUGACAGAUUCUUCGGAUGAUGGAUUAAGUGACUGAGUGGCGGACGGGUGAGUAACGCGUGGGUAACCUGCCUCAUACAGGGGGAUAACAGUUAGAAAUGACUGCUAAUACCGCAUAAGCGCACAGGACCGCAUGGUCUGGUGUGAAAAACUCCGGUGGUAUGAGAUGGACCCGCGUCUGAUUAGCUAGUUGGUGGGGUAACGGCCCACCAAGGCGACGAUCAGUAGCCGACCUGAGAGGGUGACCGGCACAUUGGGACUGAGACACGGCCCAAAAUCCUACGGGAGGCAGCAGUGGGGAAUAUUGCAC